UACGGAGGGUGCAAGCAUUAAUCGGAUUUAUUGGGCGUAAAGGGCGCGUAGGCGGGAGCAUAAGUCAGAUGUGAAAGCCCGGGGCUCAACCCCGGAACGGCAUUUGAUACUGUGCACCUAGAGGGUAGGCGGAGAAAAUGGAAUUCCACAAGUAGCGGUGAAAUGCGUAGAUAUGUGGAAGAACACCGGUGGCGAAGGCGGUUUUCUAGCUUAUACCUGACGCUGAGGCGCGAAAGCAAGGGGAUCAAACAGG
RNAcentral lists this ribosomal RNA (253 nucleotides) under uncultured bacterium. RNAcentral's name for it is "partial 16S ribosomal RNA". It matches the Rfam family "Bacterial small subunit ribosomal RNA", at positions 524 to 776 of the family's 1533-position model. The record is from RNAcentral.